Molecule: ribosomal RNA, 465 nt
Filed under: uncultured bacterium
Lineage: Bacteria
Description: partial 16S ribosomal RNA
Rfam family: Bacterial small subunit ribosomal RNA
Source: RNAcentral
CUACGGGCGGCAGCAGUGGGGAAUAUUGGACAAUGGGGGAAACCCUGAUCCAGCAAUGCCGCGUGUGUGAAGAAGGCCUACGGGUUGUAAAGCACUUUCGGUUGGGAGGACUGCUUCUAGCACUAAUAUUGUUGGAAGUUGACGUUACCUUCAGAAGAAGCACCGGCUAACUCCGUGCCAGCAGCCGCGGUAAUACGGAGGGUGCAAGCGUUAAUCGGAAUUACUGGGCGUAAAGCGCGCGUAGGCGGCUAGAUCAGUCGGGUGUGAAAGCCCCGGGCUUAACCUGGGAACGGCAUCCGAUACUGUCUAGCUUGAGUACAGGAGAGGAGAGUGGAAUUCCACAUGUAGCGGUGAAAUGCGUAGAUAUGUGGAGGAACACCAAUGGCGAAGGCAGCUCUCUGGCCUGAUACUGACGCUGAGAUGCGAAAGCGUGGGGAGCAAACAGGAUUAGAUACCCGUGUAGUC